RNAcentral lists this ribosomal RNA (436 nucleotides) under uncultured Clostridium sp. RNAcentral describes it as "partial 16S ribosomal RNA". It matches the Rfam family "Bacterial small subunit ribosomal RNA", at positions 341 to 792 of the family's 1533-position model. Lineage: Bacteria; Bacillati; Bacillota; Clostridia; Eubacteriales; Clostridiaceae. The record is from RNAcentral.
ACGGGAGGCAGCAGUGGGGAAUAUUGGGCAAUGGGCGAAAGCCUGACCCAGCGACGCCGCGUGAGGGAAGAAGGUCUUCGGAUUGUAAACCUUAGUCAACAGGGAAGAAGCAAGUGACGGUACCUGUGGAGGAAGCCACGGCUAACUACGUGCCAGCAGCCGCGGUAAUACGUAGGUAGCGAGCGUUGCCCGGAAUUACUGGGUGUAAAGGGAGUGUAGGCGGGUUAUCAAGUCCGUUGUUAAAUCUCACGGCUCAACCGUGAGCUGCGGCGGAAACUGAUGAUCUUGAGUGAGGUAGAGGCAAGCGGAAUUCCACGUGUAGCGGUGAAAUGCGUAGAGAUGUGGAAGAACACCAGUGGCGAAGGCGGCUUGCUGGGCCUUAACUGACGCUGAGGCUCGAAAGUGUGGGGAGCAAACAGGAUUAGAUACCCUGGUA